UACAUGGGGUGCAAACGUUGCUCGGAAUCAUUGGGCGUAAAGCGCGCGUAGGCGGUUACUUAAGUCGAAUGUGAAAGCCCUCGGCUUAACCGAGGAAGUGCAUCCGAAACUGAGUAGCUAGAGUACGAAAGAGGGUCGCGGAAUUCCCGGUGUAGAGGUGAAAUUCGUAGAUAUUCGCAAGAACACCAGUGGCGAAGGCGGCUCACUGGCCCGAUACUGACGCUGAGGCACGAAAGCGUGGGGAGCAAACAGG
RNAcentral lists this ribosomal RNA (253 nucleotides) under uncultured bacterium. RNAcentral describes it as "partial 16S ribosomal RNA". It matches the Rfam family "Bacterial small subunit ribosomal RNA", at positions 524 to 776 of the family's 1533-position model. The record is from RNAcentral.